Salvia miltiorrhiza (redroot sage) is the source of this 1961-nucleotide long non-coding RNA. RefSeq lists it as uncharacterized. The transcript has 2 exons. The record is from RefSeq and is a predicted model, not a curated record. Lineage: Eukaryota; Viridiplantae; Streptophyta; Magnoliopsida; Lamiales; Lamiaceae.
AUAAGUUCUCCCUUCUCUCUCUUACUCUAAAAACUAUCUUAAUCUCUCUCCCUCACCCUUUUCACCAUAGUAAGUACCAGACCAAAGUUCCCAAAGAAAAUCACACCCGACGCCUCCUAGAUUUAACCACCACUCCAACACCCUCAAAUCAAAAAGAAAAGGUAAGAUGACAUUGUCCCCAACAGAAAAAACCCCGUCGAACCUGCCCCCAAAUCUCCAUCCCCAACAAAAAUUGAGCAAAUAAAAAAUGUGAUCGGGAGAGAAACUUUAGACACGGUGGAGGUUGAGUAGCCGAAGAAGGAACCCGCCAAAUGAAAGUGGUACAUGAAGGUACCAACUAAGAAAGAGAAAGGUAAAGAGCACACUACCACUAAAUCAGAGUCGGAAUCCUCUUCCAUUGGAAAGAGUCCUGAGAAAGUUGUGGCCUCGCCUCCAGCCCUAGUGCAGGAGGAAGAGAAGAGCAGGAGGCCGGCAAGGAAGAAAUAGCCGUGGAGGAGGCAGAUGCUUAAGCGGAUGAGGCUGGGCAGGAAGAGGAAGUUGGGCAAGAUGAAGAGCAAGCGGAUGAGAAGGAAUUGACAGAAACCACUGAGACGGAGACCGAUACCAAGACAUCAUCAUUGGCGCAGUUGAACAGGAAAAUGAGGGGUGAUACCCCAGGUAGAUCGAGGUAGCGACAAAGAAGAAGGAAGUUCAGCCGUACAUGGGGCCGAAGAGUACCCAUUUUGUGGGCCUUCCGACGAGAGCUAUCGUCAACCCCAAAAUUAUGGACUUUGCGGUUUUGAAAGCCUUAAGUGUGGAGAUGGAAGUGAGAAAGUAUUUCAGAGCAAUUGGGUGGGGGACAUUUUUGGAAUGGCCUGGGAAAAUCUAUGGCAACUUGACGCAGGAGUUCAUCCAGACUUUCAAUGUAAAACAUCUAGGCAAGCAGGCGCUCGGGAUGGAGAUCAUUAAGUUCAAGCCGAUGAAGCAGGGUUACACCAUCUCGAUAAAUGAUCUCAACUAGUUUUUGGGCAUGACGACCCUCAUCGAGCUCAAGAUAGAGGAGUAUAAGCGGGCAGUGCAAGGCACCCUGGAGUAGAACGCUGCACAGUGGGCUGAGAAGUGAAAAAUGGUUGGGAGAGAAAGUGAGUUCAAGUCGGGAGCAACAAAAGCCUAUAAGCUAAAGAGCAGCGCCUUGAGAAUUUGCCAUCGAAUUCUUGCCUAUAAUUUCUUUGGCAAGAAGGUCAGUAGCAAUUCUAUUGCCCAAUAACAACUCUACCUACUCUGGUGUAUGGUCAUUGGCAAGAAGGUAAACUUUGGGGUAUAUGUUGUGAAUCACUUUAAGGAUAUCACAGGACAUGCUAAACAGAGGAUCUCCUCUUGGCUCAUUGGUCACCACCUUGGCCAAGAGCUUGGGCAUCCUGAAUGAGCUGACAACAGAAAUGGUCAGUAUUCAGGAGGAAUACUUGGACCUACUUUGCCUUUAGAGGAUACAAAAAAUGGAGUGAGAUGACCAAAAUGAGUCCCUUAAGUUAGUUUGGCCAGUGCAGGAUGAGUCCCUGGCCGCGAUGAAGUCAUCUUCUUCAUCAAAGCUUGCAAGAUAGAUGAGUGUCCCGCCCGAGACAGGAUAAUCUGAGGUGAUGGAAUGCCUAGCUCGUAUCGAGGAUAAUCAAGUUGCCAUUAAAGAGAAAUUGGAUGCCACCUACAACACCCUCAUUGCCUUCUUCGAGAGUAUUGGAUUCAGAUUUUGCAUAAUUAUUCAGGUGAAUUCGAGCAGAACAAAUUCAUGAUGAGAAAAUUCUUAAACCCUAGUAGCAGCGACGGCGCCGGUGAGGGAGAAAGGAAGAGAGAAGAAAGGGAAGUCGGCGGCGUGAGGGAGAAAGGAAGAGAGUGAAGAUUACUUAAUAAUUUAAAUUUAAUUUAAACAACACUAAUUUGUUGUUUCCCUUAAUUAAUUAUACUUUUCUUAAUUUUUAUGCCGAAAA